AGAACCUUACCUGGGCUAGAGUGCCUCUGACAACCCUGGAGACAGGGCCUUCUGGGUAAAACCAGACGGAGUGCAAGGUGCUGCAUGGCUGUCGUCAGCUCGUGUCGUGAGAUGUUGGGUUAAGUCCCGCAACGAGCGCAACCCUUGUCAGUAGUUGCCAGCAGGUCAAGCUGGGCACUCUACUGAGACUGCCGUUGAUAAAACGGAGGAAGGUGGGGAUGACGUCAAGUCCUCAUGGCCUUUAUGUCCAGGGCUACACACGUGCUACAAUGGCAGGUACAAACCGUCGCAAACUCGCAAGAGGGAGCCAAUCGGAAAAAGCCUGUCUCAGUUCGGAUCGGAGUCUGCAACACGACUCCGUGAAGCUGGGAUCGCUAGUUAUCGCAAAUCAGCAUGCCCGCGGUGAAUACGUUCCCGGGCCUUGUCACACCGA
RNAcentral lists this ribosomal RNA (433 nucleotides) under uncultured soil bacterium. RNAcentral describes it as "bacterial SSU rRNA". It matches the Rfam family "Bacterial small subunit ribosomal RNA", at positions 965 to 1393 of the family's 1533-position model. The record is from RNAcentral.